UCCUGUCUGAACAUGGGGGGACCACCCUCCAAGCCUAAAUACUCGUAUGUGACCGAUAGCGAACCAGUACCGUGAGGGAAAGGUGAAAAGCACCCCGACGAGGGGAGUGAAACAGUACCUGAAACCGAACGCCUACAAUCAGUUGGAGGGCCCUUGCGGCCUGACAGCGUACCUUUUGUAUAAUGGGUCAUCGACUUGGUCUAUCUAGCAAGCUUAAGCCGUUAGGUGUAGGCGCAGCGAAAGCGAGUCUGAAUAGGGCGACGAGUUCGAGGGAUAAGACCCGAAACCGAGUGAUCUAGCCAUGUGCAGGUUG
RNAcentral lists this ribosomal RNA (313 nucleotides) under Kryptoperidinium foliaceum. Its description in RNAcentral is "partial Bacterial large subunit ribosomal RNA". It matches the Rfam family "Bacterial large subunit ribosomal RNA", at positions 432 to 747 of the family's 2925-position model. Lineage: Eukaryota; Dinophyceae; Peridiniales; Kryptoperidiniaceae. The record is from RNAcentral.